GAUGAACGCUAGCGGCAGGCUUAACACAUGCAAGUCGAGGGGUAGAAGUUGCUUGCAACUUUGAGACCGGCGCACGGGUGCGUAACGCGUAUGCAAUCUACCUUAUACAGAGGGAUAGCCCAGAGAAAUUUGGGUUAAUACCUCAUAGUAUAAUUGAAUGGCAUCAUUUAAUUAUUAAAGUUCCAACGGUAUAAGAUGAGCAUGCGUCCUAUUAGCUAGAUGGUAAGGUAACGGCUUACCAUGGCAACGAUAGGUAGGGGUCCUGAGAGGGAGAUCCCCCACACUGGUACUGAGACACGGACCAGACUCCUACGGGAGGCAGCAGUGAGGAAUAUUGGACAAUGGGCGCAAGCCUGAUCCAGCCAUGCCGCGUGCAGGAAGAAGCAUCUAUGGUGUGUAAACUGCUUUUGUACGGGAAGAAACGCCCCUUCGUGAUGGGACUUGACGGUACCGUAAGAAUAAGGAUCGGCUAACUCCGUGCCAGCCGCCGCCGUAA
Molecule: ribosomal RNA, 496 nt
Filed under: uncultured bacterium
Lineage: Bacteria
Description: partial 16S ribosomal RNA
Rfam family: Bacterial small subunit ribosomal RNA
Source: RNAcentral